Molecule: long non-coding RNA, 569 nt
Filed under: Solanum tuberosum (potato)
Lineage: Eukaryota; Viridiplantae; Streptophyta; Magnoliopsida; Solanales; Solanaceae
Description: long non-coding RNA (STUB_LNC002612)
Source: RNAcentral
AAGCUCCAAAACUUAUUAAAGUAACCAAUCAAAUAAACCUCUAAAGUCUAUUACAUAUUAUCCCCAAAAUCUGAAAGUCAUCACAUCAAGGACAUCUAAUCUCUAAAUACUAAGUCUAAGAGUAUCAAAGACACCGAAAUAAAUGAAAUAAAGUAAUUUGUGUCCGAAAACUAUAGACAUCAAGUCAUGACCGAGAGAAUCCAACACAAGCUCGAAUAAAUAGCUCACCCUUAAACCUGAUAUGUUGAGGCUGGCUAGAGCUGAGGGUGAGUCAAAUUCGUUGGUACAUAACAACAAUAAUGCGGAAGCUCAAAACUUAUUAAAGUAACCAAUCAAAUAAACCUCUAAAUUCUAUUACAUAUUAUCCCCAAAAUCUGAAAGUCAUCACAUCAAGGACAUCUAAUCUCUAAAUACUAAGUCUAAGAGUAUCAAAGACACCGAAAUAAAUGAAAUAAAGUAAUUUGUGUCCGAAAACUAUGGACAUCAGGUCAUGACCGAGAGAAUCCAACACAAGCUCGAAUAAAUAGCUCACCCUUAAACCUGAUAUGUUGAGGCUGGCUAGAGCUGAG